RNAcentral lists this ribosomal RNA (484 nucleotides) under uncultured bacterium. RNAcentral describes it as "partial 16S ribosomal RNA". It matches the Rfam family "Bacterial small subunit ribosomal RNA", at positions 30 to 507 of the family's 1533-position model. The record is from RNAcentral.
AUUGAACGCUGGCGGCAGGCCUAACACAUGCAAGUCGAGCGGAUGAAGGGAGCUUGCUCCUGGAUUCAGCGGCGGACGGGUGAGUAAUGCCUAGGAAUCUGCAUGGUAGUGGGGGAUAACGUUCGGAAACGGGCGCUAAUACCGCAUCCGUCUUGCGGGAGAAAGUGGGGGAUCUUCGGACCUCACGCUAUCAGAUGAGCCUAGGUCGGAUUAGCUAGUUGGUGGGGUAAAGGCCUACCAAGGCGACGAUCCGUAACUGGUCUGAGAGGAUGAUCAGUCACACUGGAACUGAGACACGGUCCAGACUCCUACGGGAGGCAGCAGUGGGGAAUAUUGGACAAUGGGCGAAAGCCUGAUCCAGCCAUGCCGCGUGUGUGAAGAAGGUCUUCGGAUUGUAAAGCACUUUAAGUUGGGAGGAAGGGCAGUAAGUUAAUACCUUGCUGUAUUGACGUUACCAGCAGAAUAAGCACCGGCUAACUUCGUG